UGAGAGAUUUUUAAGUUGCUAUUAAAAUUUUCUGGUGACCUCAUCUUCUUUGUCUCCUACAGUCUCUAUUGUAGCUGAAACAGAAGAAAUCAAGGCCAUUUUGAAGGACAAGGGAAUUGACGUGGAGACCAUUGCUGAGGUAUACCCCAUCAGAGUACAACCAGCUCGUAUUCUCAGCCACAUUUAUUCCAGCCUAGGAUGCAACAAUAGAAUGAAACUCAGUGGACGACCCUACAGACACAUGGGAGUGCUUGGAACUUCAAAACUCUAUGACAUUCGGAAAACUAUCUUUACUUUCACUCCACAGUUUAUAGACCAGCAACAGUUCUACCUGGCUCUGGACAACAAGAUGAUGGUGGAAAUGCUUAGAACAGACCUCUCCUACCUCUGUAGCCGCUGGCGGAUGACAGGCCAGCCCACCAUCACCUUCCCCAUCUCACACAGCAUGCUUGGUAAGGGCUACAUGAGGCAAGGAAUGAAUGUAUUUUGGAAAUAAGUCAUAGAUUUAGCCCUUCAACAUCUUGGUGUUUCUAGAGAGUUACUUCUUAUAAUUUAUUCUUUCAGCGGUAUUUAUUGGCUCCUAUUUUAUGCCAAGCACUUUUCUAAGCACUGGGGACACAUGGAGUGAAUAAGGCAGAUGAGAAUUUCUGUUCUCAUGGAGCUUAUGCUUUAGAAGGUGAAGACAGACUAUAUGUAAUACAUAAAUCAACACACAAUAAUUU
This 722-nucleotide long non-coding RNA is filed under the name Rhinopithecus bieti (black snub-nosed monkey). RNAcentral describes it as "lncRNA (ENSRBIG00000046590.1)". The record is from RNAcentral. Lineage: Eukaryota; Metazoa; Chordata; Mammalia; Primates; Cercopithecidae.